AAAUCAAUCCAAGCUAUACUUUUAUAAGGAAACGAUCAACUCUACAAAUCUCCAUAACAGUUCCAACAGUAUUUCUUUAAAAAGAAAGACAGAUAUUGUUGAACAAAAGACAACCCCAAGGGUAGACAGGUUAUGUGACUCGCAAGGGCUAUCCAGGAUGAACUCGCACACCCAUCUGGACUGCACACACAUGCAUACAUGGAGCGUUUGAUUUCUCAGACAGCAUAUGAAUUAAUCUACAGACAGCUAGAGAAUAAUUCCAAAGCUUGUUGCUUCUUAAUUGGGUGGUUUGAAGAAUUUCAACUUCAAUCCACUGUUCACCAUACUCCAGACUCCUCCAAUGGAAAAGGCCAAGCUAAAGGCAAUACCCAACCAACCCAGAAUCCAAUUGAAAUACCAAUUAAAGCUGUACUUAGUAGGUCUUUUAAUGAGAACCCACAUGAAGCAAGGGUAUGCAAAUGUGACUGGAAGGGUAAGUCCCCCUAGUAGACCAGCCAGACUUGAUAGGAAAGGAAGUGCAACACCUAUGAAGAAAGAGAUGAAUCCAUAGAAAACACGAAAUCCAGACCGAACCCAGAUUGAGCACGGGCGGUUGGUACGGCUGGUGUAACCAGCUUCAAAACUGUCAAAAACAGGCAUUGAAUAUAUCUGGAAACUGCUUAAGCAAUUGAACACCACUAACAGAAAUGUCAAUGCAAGAAGUCCUCGAGGAAUGUCAUGGCUGUGGAAACCAUAUAAAGCAUUAAGAAUUCCUCCUGAAGGCAUGAGAUUUCCAUAAGCCCAGAAGCCUCCAAUGGCAAUAGGGAACAGGCACAUGGCAAUGAAGAAAUAAGCAACUUUGGCUCCUUUCCACAUGGGUAUGUGAGCUGGGUGCUUAAAGGUUGAUGGCAUUGUUGCCUGAAUCUCCAGGACUAGAUUAUGCCCUCUGAAAGCAAAGGCUACAAUUCCAAGCGCAUUCAAUACUUGAAAGACAGAAGCAGAAAAGGAUGGCAAGGAAAGGGGUUCAUAGGAGAUUGAAGGUGGCCUUUGUUGACUAACAGAUAGCACCCACACCAUGGUGGAAUAUGUUAUAGCUGUUAUGGCGCCAAUAAGGGAAAGUCCUGCAAUUGAAUUAAGGUUUGGGAGCUGAGACAAAACAAUGCACAGAGAAGUGAAUACCAGGUACCACUCAACUGUUGUAAGGGGAUUCGAAGUACAGAGAGGCCCACAAACUAUUUGGAAGAAGAGUUUCAUGGUCUCCCCUCCUAUAAGAAUCAAAGCUGUUGCAGUUCCAGCUGACAAAUAAACAGUUGGAAAGAGAGCAAGCCAAACACCUAAUCUUUCCCCGAAUGCAGCUUGUGCAAGCUCGACAUAUCUGUUAUACCUCUUUCCCGGAACAGCUUCAU
RNAcentral lists this unclassified non-coding RNA (1385 nucleotides) under Hevea brasiliensis (rubber tree). Lineage: Eukaryota; Viridiplantae; Streptophyta; Magnoliopsida; Malpighiales; Euphorbiaceae. The record is from RNAcentral.